UUCUCCAAGAUUAACAGAACAUUUAGCCC
This 29-nucleotide non-coding RNA is filed under the name Mus musculus (house mouse). Lineage: Eukaryota; Metazoa; Chordata; Mammalia; Rodentia; Muridae. The record is from RNAcentral.